AUCUAGCUGACGAGACCCAAAUGGGACGAAACGCGCGUCAGAUUGGAU
Schistosoma rodhaini is the source of this 48-nucleotide non-coding RNA. Lineage: Eukaryota; Metazoa; Platyhelminthes; Trematoda; Strigeidida; Schistosomatidae. The record is from Rfam.